RNAcentral lists this ribosomal RNA (489 nucleotides) under uncultured bacterium. Its description in RNAcentral is "partial 16S ribosomal RNA". It matches the Rfam family "Bacterial small subunit ribosomal RNA", at positions 30 to 507 of the family's 1533-position model. The record is from RNAcentral.
UUGAACGCUGGCGGCAGGCCUAACCCAUGCAAGUCGAACGGUAACAGGAAGCAGCUUGCUGCUUCGCUGACGAGUGGCGGACGGGUGAGUAAUGUCUGGGAAACUGCCUGAUGGAGGGGGAUAACUACUGGAAACGGUAGCUAAUACCGCAUAACGUCGCAAGACCAAAGAGGGGGACCUUAGGGCCUCUUGCCAUCGGAUGUGCCCAGAUGGGAUUAGCUAGUAGGUGGGGUAACGGCUCACCUAGGCGACGAUCCCUAGCUGGUCUGAGAGGAUGACCAGCCACACUUGAACUGGAGCACGGUCCAGACUCCUAAGGGGGGCAGCAGUGGGGAAUAUUGCACAAUGGGCGCAAGCCUUAUGCAGCCAUGGCGCGGGUAUGAAGAAGGCCUUCGGGUUGGAAAGUACUUUCAGCGGGGAGGAAGGGAGUAAAGUUAAUACCUUUGCUCAUUGACGUUACCCGCAGAAGAAGCACCGGCUAACUCCGUG